RNAcentral lists this ribosomal RNA (509 nucleotides) under uncultured bacterium. RNAcentral's name for it is "bacterial SSU rRNA". It matches the Rfam family "Bacterial small subunit ribosomal RNA", at positions 998 to 1503 of the family's 1533-position model. The record is from RNAcentral.
GCCUAGAGAUAGGCGGUUCCCCUUCGGGGGACAGAGAGACAGGUGGUGCAUGGUUGUCGUCAGCUCGUGUCGUGAGAUGUUGGGUUAAGUCCCGCAACGAGCGCAACCCUUAUGACUAGUUGCCAGCAUUUAGUUGGGCACUCUAGUAAGACUGCCGGUGACAAACCGGAGGAAGGUGGGGAUGACGUCAAAUCAUCAUGCCCCUUAUGACCUGGGCUACACACGUGCUACAAUGGAUGGUACAACGAGUUGCGAGACCGCGAGGUCAAGCUAAUCUCUUAAAGCCAUUCUCAGUUCGGACUGUAGGCUGCAACUCGCCUACACGAAGUCGGAAUCGCUAGUAAUCGCGGAUCAGCACGCCGCGGUGAAUACGUUCCCGGGCCUUGUACACACCGCCCGUCACACCAUGAGAGUUUGUAACACCCGAAGCCGGUGGCGUAACCCUUUUAGGGAGCGAGCCGUCUAAGGUGGGACAAAUGAUUAGGGUGAAGUCGUAACAAGGUAACCGU